AGUGAAUGAUGACAAAAUGUUGCAGUCCCAGAUGAUAAAUACUGAUAAUGUUACAUUUCUGAUAUU
Small nucleolar RNA from Rhinolophus ferrumequinum (greater horseshoe bat), 66 nucleotides. Its record names the gene SNORD73. It matches the Rfam family "Small nucleolar RNA SNORD73". Rfam says of the family: U73 is a member of the C/D class of snoRNA which contain the C (UGAUGA) and D (CUGA) box motifs. U73 is encoded within the introns of ribosomal protein S3a and contains a 12nt region of complementarity to a conserved sequence in 28S ribosomal RNA. The record is from Ensembl. NCBI's taxonomy places the organism in Eukaryota, Metazoa, Chordata, Mammalia, Chiroptera, Rhinolophidae.